Biomphalaria glabrata is the source of this 297-nucleotide long non-coding RNA. RefSeq lists it as uncharacterized. The transcript has 3 exons. Lineage: Eukaryota; Metazoa; Mollusca; Gastropoda; Planorbidae. The record is from RefSeq and is a predicted model, not a curated record.
UCCGGUCAUAACAACUUUACAGAAUCGGUAGGAGGAGUUCGUUAGCCUUGUCUGGCUAGACCAUGGAGCCUAUCAUCUAUAACUCUAAAAAUUUGAUUGACCGAGCAUUGUCUGGGAGAGAUGCCAUUCUUGUGAAGUUCAACAAGUGUGCAGAGAAAGAUGGCCAGACUUAUUUGUCAGAAGCAAAGAAUGUGUUUGAGAAAAUGCAGAAUCCAAUGCUCCUAGAUCCUAAAGCAGAUCGGGAAGAAGUCCGGCAAUAUUUGAAUGACCUCUUAGAGCAAAUGGAAUCUGUGCAAC